This 912-nucleotide long non-coding RNA is filed under the name Brassica rapa (field mustard). RNAcentral describes it as "long non-coding RNA (BRAP_LNC002099)". Lineage: Eukaryota; Viridiplantae; Streptophyta; Magnoliopsida; Brassicales; Brassicaceae. The record is from RNAcentral.
AGGAGGCGGUGGUGGGGAAUGUGGUGGUGGUGGUGGUGGGGAGUGAGGAUACAUUGGUGGGGGAGGUGGCGAAUGGUGUGGUGGUGGUGGUGAAUUGUAGUAGUAUGGUGGAGGAGAUGAAUGAUGCGGCGGUGGUGGUGAAUUGUAGUAGUAUGGUGGUGGAGGUGAGUGAUGCGGGGGUGGUGGGGAAUUGUAGUAGUAUGGGGGAGGAGAUGAGUGAUGUGGUGGUGGUGGCGGAGGUGAGCUGUAAUAGUAUGGUGGGGGAGAAGAAUGGUGAGGUGGUGGUGGAGGUGAGUAAUGUGGCGGUGGUGGAGGUGAGGGGCACGGCGGUGGGGGAGGGCGAGUGCAAUAAAUUGGAGCUGGUGGUGGUGGAGAUGAAUAUACUGGCGGUGGUGGUGGCGAAGAGUAAACUGGUGGAGGCGGUGGUGGUGGUGGUGGUGGGGGAGAGUAAACUGGUGGUGGUGGUGGUGGAGAGUAGACUGGUGGCGGUGGAGGUGGUGGUGGAGGGGGAGAGUAUACAGGUGGAGGCGGCGGUGGUGGUGGUGGAGGCGGAGGGGGAGAAUAAACAGGUGGAGGUGGAGGCGGUGGAGGCGGUGGAGGCGGUGGUGGUGGUGGUGGUGGUGGGGGAGAGUAGACGGGUGGUGGUGGAGGAGGAGGAGGUGGUGGUGGAGGGGAGUAGACAGGGGGAGGCGGAGGAGGGGAAUAGACAGGGGGAGGAGGAGGAGGAGAAUAGACGGGUGAUGGUGGAGGUGGCGAUGGUGGAGGCGGAGGAGGUAAUUGAGGUACAAUCGGAGGAAGGGGUGUAACAGAACGACCACACUUAAAAGAUUCACAAUCCACCGGAGGCCGAGACAAAAACGCUGCACAUUGCUCCGAAGACCUCUGAGCAGGACGCGACGGCAAACAAUUCCU